This is a long non-coding RNA of Numida meleagris (helmeted guineafowl), 1997 nucleotides long. RefSeq lists it as uncharacterized. The record is from RefSeq and is a predicted model, not a curated record. The transcript has 2 exons. Lineage: Eukaryota; Metazoa; Chordata; Aves; Galliformes; Numididae.
CAAAUGAACUUGAUAUAAAACUGCUUUUAACCUGUAAUUUAAUGUUUUUGUGAGGGAAAUUGCCAAAUCCUCAUUUCACAUAAACAGAUAUAUGAGUCAUUACAGUGAGUGUGUUUAUUGUACACGGCACUUCUUUCCAAAACACACAUGUUUAAACAGAUGGCUUAUGUUGACUAUUAAUGCAGUUCCUGCAAUUAAGUUCAGACUGAACAAAGUAGGCAGAGACUGACAUUCUAUUGACAUCAAAGCCAGUGUAUUGCAUCUUCUUCUUAUGAAUGUUCAAAUUCAGAGCAGCUACUACAGCCUUACUGAAAUGUCAACUGCGAUAAGUCACGAUGUAAAUGAAGAGGAGAGAUAAGGUAGCUGGCAUCUUGCUAAUUUACUUUUUGACUGGGAUUUACUAUAUGCAUAUUUAUGCUGUUACGUUUUAAUGGUGAAAGUCCACGUUUGAGCAAAUUACUGUAAAUAAACAUAGCAGUUAAGAUUCAACUUGUCUCUCCAACCCUAUAGCUGCAGUGGGCUCAAAGCACGUGCAAACUAGUUUCUACCAUACAGGGAGCCCAACAGCAAGGUGAUGGUGUGCUCUUCUUGUUGUGCUGCCAGCAGAAGUGGCCAAAUGGCCCAUGAACAGUUAUGGUGCUGCAUGCAAGGCUGCUAUGCCAGAAACAGAAAUGGCCAUACCUGGUCAACCCCAAGGUUCAUCUAUCACAGUAUUGUGUUGAUGCAGUAUAUUGCAAUAGAGGCUGGCUAAGAAGGAAUGUGAGAGCAGCUCACGUGACGUGGCACAGAUUACACAGCUGAGACUGCUCCAGGGCUUCCUGACCUGCAGCCAGUUUCCUUGUGUUUGAUAGUGCCUAACAGGUUUCUCCUCUAUGAAUUUGUUGCAGGGCUUUUGGAAUUGGUGUAAACAUUCAGUAUGCACAAUUUCCUGUAGCGAAGUGUUUCAUGGAAAAAGUGCUUCACUUUCUUUUGAGCUUGCUAUUAACAUUCUUUGAUGACCUGCUGGUCUUGCACUGGAAUAAGCAGUGAACAAUUGUUCCUUAUUCACUGUCUUCUGUGAUUUUUUAAAGUUUAUUCUAUCAUCCGUUGUGUUUUCCAGGCUGAGGAGCUCUAUACUAUUUUUGAUAAACUUGUGCAGCAGGUAGUGCUAUGGCCCUGCAGUUGGAGUCUCAUGGCUACAGUUCAAUGAAUGGAAUCUCCAGCCCCAUGUGACCUGUUCAGCAGUUGCUGUUUGUAACUUCUGGAAUGAUAUAUGAGAACAGGUAUGGCUAGGCUUAAUGAAGUGAAGUGGCUGUUUAAAACAGUUCAACAAGCAUUUCAUAUCUAUUAGGUACUGCUUACCUUUUCCUCCUUCCUUGGUAUUCUCUUAAACCAAAUUUCAUCUCCUGCUUCUUGUAUUCUUCUUCAUUCAAAUUUAGUGGUGGAAAAAAACAACAACAUGCAUUUCAUUUAUGUCUUUAGAUAGAGAUAUUUUUAAAUGCCUUUUGUAUUCAGUAGUAACUUUCUAAACCGGCUUGCAUGAGAACAGCUUUGUUACAGCACAAAGCAGGGUAGUAGUUAGGUUACUUUGUCCUCUGCUCCACCAGAAGCUGUGACACAAGUUCUUGGAAGAUCUCCAAGUGUCACUGCAUGAUGCUGGACAAGGCUGAAGCUGAAGCAGAACAAGGUCCCUUUUAUUGCCCAAGUCUGGCACAUCUUCAGCGUUUCAGGGCUGGUGCUGCACAGUGGAACACUGCCUCCCUGCUGAAAUACCACCAGCUGUUGGAGAAGAGAGAUCAUUUUCAGUCAUACUAAUGCAAGUAGCCAGAGAGCCAUAUUCAACAAUCUAAUUAAGGCUGAACAAGGGGAGAAACUUGAUACCUUACAACCUAAAAAACAACUAAUCGUCCCUCUUUCUGUGGUCAUUGCUGGAAAUAAAACAAAACAAAACAAAAAAUAAAAAAAAAACCAACACAGACAAAAAAACAAAACCCACAGCACUUCUGGGAAAGACCCAG